ACAUCCAAGGAAGGCAGCAGGCGCGCAAAUUACCCAAUCCCGACACGGGGAGGUAGUGACAAUAAAUACUGAUACAGGGCUCUUUUGGGUCUUGUAAUUGGAAUGAGUACAAUUUAAAUCCCUUAACGAGGAACAAUUGGAGGGCAAGUCUGGUGCCAGCAGCCGCGGUAAUUCCAGCUCCAAUAGCGUAUAUUAAAGUUGUUGCAGUUAAAAAGCUCGUAGUUGAACCUUGGGCCUGGCUGGCCGGUCCGCCUCACCGCGUGUACUGGUCCGGCCGGGCCUUUCCUUCUGGGGAACCUCAUGCCCUUCACUGGGCGUGUUGGGGAACCAGGACUUUUACUUUGAAAAAAUUAGAGUGUUCAAAGCAGGCCUUUGCUCGAAUACAUUAGCAUGGAAUAAUAGAAUAGGACGUGUGGUUCUAUUUUGUUGGUUUCUAGGACGCCGUAAUGAUUAAUAGGGAUAGUCGG
This 467-nucleotide ribosomal RNA is filed under the name fungal sp. RNAcentral's name for it is "SSU rRNA". It matches the Rfam family "Eukaryotic small subunit ribosomal RNA", at positions 412 to 885 of the family's 1831-position model. Lineage: Eukaryota; Fungi. The record is from RNAcentral.